UGGGAAUUUUCCGCAAUGGGCGAAAGCCUGACGGAGCAAUGCCGCGUGGAGGUGGAAGGCCUACGGGUCGUCAACUUCUUUUCUCGGAGAAGAAACAAUGACGGUAUCUGAGGAAUAAGCAUCGGCUAACUCUGUGCCAA
This 140-nucleotide ribosomal RNA is filed under the name uncultured bacterium. RNAcentral's name for it is "partial 16S rRNA". It matches the Rfam family "Bacterial small subunit ribosomal RNA", at positions 356 to 511 of the family's 1533-position model. The record is from RNAcentral.